Molecule: ribosomal RNA, 294 nt
Filed under: uncultured Streptococcus sp.
Lineage: Bacteria; Bacillati; Bacillota; Bacilli; Lactobacillales; Streptococcaceae
Description: partial 16S ribosomal RNA
Rfam family: Bacterial small subunit ribosomal RNA
Source: RNAcentral
GUCCCGCAACGAGCGCAACCCUAUGUUAGUUGCCAUCAUUCAGUUGGGCACUCUAGCGAGACUGCCGGUAAUAAACCGGAGGAAGGUGGGAUGACGUCAAAUCAUCAUGCCCCUUAUGACCUGGGCUACACACGUGCUACAAUGGUUGGUACAACGAGUUGCGAGUCGGUGACGGCGAGCUAAUCUCUUAAAGCCAAUCUCAGUUCGGAUUGUAGGCUGCAACUCGCCUACAUGAAGUCGGAAUCGCUAGUAAUCGCGGAUCAGCACGCCGCGGUGAAUACGUUCCCGGGCCUU